GGGGUUGUAGCUAAGUGGUAGAGCACUUGCCUUGCAUGCAUGAGACCCUGGGUUUGAUCCCCAGCACCACA
RNAcentral lists this transfer RNA (71 nucleotides) under Marmota monax (woodchuck). RNAcentral's name for it is "tRNA.Ala". It matches the Rfam family "tRNA". From Rfam's summary of the family: Transfer RNA (tRNA) molecules are approximately 80 nucleotides in length. Their secondary structure includes four short double-helical elements and three loops (D, anti-codon, and T loops). Further hydrogen bonds mediate the characteristic L-shaped molecular structure. tRNAs have two regions of fundamental functional importance: the anti-codon, which is responsible for specific mRNA codon recognition, and the 3' end, to which the tRNAs corresponding amino acid is attached (by aminoacyl-tRNA synthetases). tRNAs cope with the degeneracy of the genetic code in two manners: having more than one tRNA (with a specific anti-codon) for a particular amino acid; and 'wobble' base-pairing, i.e. permitting non-standard base-pairing at the 3rd anti-codon position. The record is from RNAcentral. Lineage: Eukaryota; Metazoa; Chordata; Mammalia; Rodentia; Sciuridae.